This 440-nucleotide ribosomal RNA is filed under the name uncultured bacterium. RNAcentral's name for it is "partial 16S ribosomal RNA". It matches the Rfam family "Bacterial small subunit ribosomal RNA", at positions 338 to 795 of the family's 1533-position model. The record is from RNAcentral.
CCUACGGGGGGCAGCAGUAGGGAAUAUUGCUCAAUGGGGGAAACCCUGAAGCAGCAACGCCGCGUGGAGGAUGAAGGUUUUCGGAGUGUAAACUCCUUUUGUUAGAGGAGAUAAUGACGGUAUCUAACGAAUAAGCACCGGCUAACUCCGUGCCAGCAGCCGCGGUAAUACGGAGGGUGCAAGCGUUAUUCGGAGUCACUGGGCGUAAAGAGCGCGUAGGCGGGAUAGCAAGUCAGAUGUGAAAUCCUAUGGCUUAACCAUAGAACUGCAUUUGAAACUGUUAUUCUUGAGUAUGGGAGAGGUAGGUGGAAUUCGUGGUGUAGGGGUAAAAUCCGUAGAGAUCAAGAAGAAUACUCAUUGCGAAGGCGACCUGCUAGAACAUAACUGACGCUGAUGCGCGAAAGCGUGGGGAGCAAACAGGAUUAGAUACCCGAGUAGUC